GUGAGUAACACGUGGAUAACCUACCUAUGAGACUGGGAUAACUUCGGGAAACCGGAGCUAAUACCGGAUAAUAUAUUGAACCGCAUGGUUCAAUAGUGAAAGACGGUUUUGCUGUCACUUAUAGAUGGAUCCGCGCCGCAUUAGCUAGUUGGUAAGGUAACGGCUUACCAAGGCAACGAUGCGUAGCCGACCUGAGAGGGUGAUCGGCCACACUGGAACUGAGACACGGUCCAG
Molecule: ribosomal RNA, 234 nt
Filed under: uncultured Staphylococcus sp.
Lineage: Bacteria; Bacillati; Bacillota; Bacilli; Caryophanales; Staphylococcaceae
Description: partial 16S ribosomal RNA
Rfam family: Bacterial small subunit ribosomal RNA
Source: RNAcentral